RNAcentral lists this long non-coding RNA (705 nucleotides) under Panax ginseng (ginseng). RNAcentral describes it as "long non-coding RNA (PGIN_LNC013232)". The record is from RNAcentral. Lineage: Eukaryota; Viridiplantae; Streptophyta; Magnoliopsida; Apiales; Araliaceae.
AAUUAAUUAUAGCCAGAAGAAGAAUUAAGAGUUCUAAAGCAUGGGAAGGUUUUCUAUGCAGGAGAGAUGACGCCCAUCCGUACGCAAAGCAAGAUCAAUUAUCCUCUUAAUCACCAGCUGUGUAAGGAGAGAGAGGUUAAUUGAGUUGGUGCAUGGGCGGGCGCCAUUUCCCCUGCAUACAAAAUCUUUUAUGCUAUAUAGUAUAAUAUAUUCAUCACAAUCAAACUUUUUAUUUCCUGGUUAUUUGAAAUUAUCGUACGUAAAUUAUAAUAAUAAAAAAUUGCAUGUUUAUAUAUAUAUAUAUAUAUAUAUAUAUAUAUUUCUUUAUGUUCAUGCAUGUGAUUGCAUGCAUCAUCGUCAAGUGAAUCAUAAAAUUACUUUAUAUUUGAAGUGAUCGAUCUUAAAUAAGCUAGAAUUCUUGAUUUUACCGUGUAAUUAUAAUUAUAAUUAUAAUUUGUUGCAGGUGAAGUAUUCUGUCCAAGUAGUUGAAGAGCAAUACAAAACAGAAGAGGAUUGGAGUUGCAGAUGUGGAUUAAAUUAUCAAGUUAUAGCUGGGUAUAUAUAUAGCCAUUCAUGUUGGAGCAAUUUUCCUUGGAUUUGUAUUAUUUUUUGUUUUAAUGAAAUUUUAUUUUGUUGAUGAAAAAAGACAAGACGAUUGGGAGAACUUGCACACCUGUUUUAUGAGGUAAUAUACGUUAAUUAUGA